This 407-nucleotide ribosomal RNA is filed under the name uncultured bacterium. RNAcentral describes it as "partial 16S ribosomal RNA". It matches the Rfam family "Bacterial small subunit ribosomal RNA", at positions 29 to 526 of the family's 1533-position model. The record is from RNAcentral.
AGCGAACGCUGGCGGCAGGCUUAACACAUGCAAGUCGAGGGGAGCGGCAGACGGGUGAGUAACGCGUGGGAAAGUACAUUUUGGGUCGGAACAACACUGGGAAACUUUUGCUAAUACCGGAUAGCGAAAGAUCGGGCCGCGUCUGAUCAUCAAGUUGGUGGGGUAAUGGCCUACCAAGGCGACGAUCAGUAGCUGGCCUGUGAGGAUGAUCAGACACGUUGGGACGUGGACACGGCCCACACUCCUACGGAAGGCAGCAAUGGGGAAUAUUGGACAAUUGGGGCAACCCUGAUCCAGCCAUGCCGCGUGAGUGAUGAAGGCACUAUGGUUGUGAAGCUCUUUUGUGCGGGAAGCGGUACCGGAAGAAUAAGCCCCGGCUAACUGCGUGCCAGCAGCCGCGGUAAUUC